This is a long non-coding RNA of Lolium perenne, 723 nucleotides long. RefSeq lists it as uncharacterized. The record is from RefSeq and is a predicted model, not a curated record. NCBI's taxonomy places the organism in Eukaryota, Viridiplantae, Streptophyta, Magnoliopsida, Poales, Poaceae.
GUGUAUACCUGACAUUUAUAUUUACAGGAAUUUGGAUAGCAGAGGGGAUCAGAAGAGAAGGAUUGAUAGAGCCGGCGGCGAGAACAAAAACUAGGAGAUCUGCGAACUGCCUGCCAAGGGAGUCUGCGAACGGAAUAAUCGUCCAUGGCGACAGCGCUACAGCCUGUGGCGAGGAAAAUCUGCAGUCGCGCCCUUGAGCGACCCGCGCAGCGGCUCUUUUCGGCGGCCGCUUCAGCGGCUGUCAAAGAGGAACAGCGGAUGCUGCUGCCAAGGAUUAGCCAUGGCGGGAGCUCACUUCGUCGGUUCAGCUCCUCGGAAGCACCAAAUCUUCUCAAUAAUAGCAAGCAUCUGCCCUGUGAAGGAAAAUCAGGGCUUUCCAAACAAAUAGAGGAGACGAAACAUGAGCUGCUCGAUCUGGUCCGCCAGAGGGAAGGUGACUAUUCCAUGGUGAAUGAUCCAAAGGAGCUUCAACGUUUGCUUCAGCGAUAUAAUAUAAGAAUCUUAACUACAGCCUGUAAUAUAACAACGGCGGCGAUGGCAGCGGGAACCAUAACAGCGGGGGCGAUGAUACUGAGCUACGAAUUUGUGUUUGGGCGGAAAAAAGAACAAUAGAGAGAGUAAUAGUUAAUACUGCAGAUGUGGAUGACCGAAAAAUUGUACUGGUUACAGAAGUUGUUUAUUAUCCUCUGGAUCGUUUAUUCAAUCGGCCGAUGGAUCCAAAUA